Molecule: long non-coding RNA, 4091 nt
Filed under: Mytilus galloprovincialis (Mediterranean mussel)
Lineage: Eukaryota; Metazoa; Mollusca; Bivalvia; Mytilida; Mytilidae
Source: RNAcentral
CUCUUCCUGGUUUGGAAAUACCAGUUUUAAUAAUGAUUUAUGAUUAAUAUAAGCAAUUCACAGGUAUGUAUAAACAAUCAUUACAAUAUAUGUGUAUCGAUUCUGAUAAAAAUAGAAUGUAAUUAUUUUUUUUCCCUUUUAUUUUUAACGAUAAAAAAAGUGGAGAGCAAUACCGUUAUCUCCACGCUUAUCGGUGAAAGGUGAAAUUAUUUCUCUAAAUCAGUUCCGGAUCUAGACUUUUUAAAAUUAUUUAUCUUUUUCUAUUCUUAUUUUUGCUAGAUUAUACAUUUGCAAACAUAAAAAUUAUUACAACAAUUUGACAACUUUAUCAAGUAGACAUUUAUUCUUAGUAUGUUUACUAGUUGCCUGCAUUUUGUAGCUGUACAUGAAUUCUGUUUUAAAUACAGAAUAUACAUCUAAAGAUUUUGUUUUCUGUUCAGACAUAUAGUUUGCCUUAUAUAUACAAAACAUUAUAAUUGUAAUCAAAUAAUUAAUUUCAUAGUAUUGUUCAUCAUUUAUUUUAUAACCCCAAACUAAAUUUUUUAAUGUUAGAAUAUUAUUAUUAAUAUUCAGUUUUUCUAAGAGUGUUUUUACUUUUCUCCAGAAAUUAUCAAGAAAGUGACAUGUUAGAAACAUGUGAUCAUAAUCCUCUGUGGUGUUGCAAUAAUGACAAUUUGAAAUAUCGCAUAUCUUCCACUUUUUUAAUAAAAUUUUACAAGGUAAAAUAAAGUGUAGCAAUUUCCAACGGAACACUUUGUAUUUAUUAUCUUUUAAAAAAUAAUGAACAAACUUUAACAUAUUACAUGAAAGACUCUUAAUGUAUACAAGGUUAAGCUUUGUCUUCCAUUUAUAAAAACCAACAGGUAUUUCAAUUUCAUUCUUAAUUAAUAUAUUAUAAAUUUUUCUGGUAUCUACAUUUUCUAAUUUUUCUUUUUUAUUGCAAUUAUCAAUAAUAUGUAUUGCAUAGGGCAUUUUUACUUUAGUUUUCUUUGAAGUUUUCCUGUUUUAAAAUCUUUAACCAUUCUCUUGGAAAAGCUUUCUUUAAUUGGUAAAAUUCUGACAUCCAGUUACUUUUUAUUUUAAGCUUUUGUAAAAUAAAAUUUUCUUCUAUAUUACCAUUUUCAUCAAUGAUGUCAUUAAUAAAGAUAAAAUUACUAUUUAUCCAGUUUUGGAAUAAAAGGCAUUUAUUUUUUAUCUUUAUGAAAACGAUUUCCCCAAAUAACUUCUUGACGUAUAGAUCUAAAGUUUUUUGGCUGUUGUACUUUUUUAUUAGUUAUCCAUGCUUUAACAAUGUUGAAAUAAAAUUUUGGCAGCUCCUCCUUUAACUCUGGAAUAGAGUCAGUGUUAUCAAUAUUCAUGUGAAAGAUAAGGAAAUCUUUUCCAAACUUAUUAAAAUAAAAAAGUGGAAUAAUUUUCCAAUUUUUUAAAUCUCCAUUAAUUAACCUUUUGAUCCACCCAAUUUUGAUAGAUUCUAUAUAUUUAUCUAUGUUAAUCAUUUUUAAACCCCCAUCUAGUUCACCAAAACUUAGUACUGUGCGUUUAACCUUUUCUCUUUUGCUUUUCCAUAAAAAAUUAUAGAUAAUUUUUUUUAAAUUUAACAAUAUAUUCUUUUUCAAUAUGUGAAACAGAUGCUAAAAAGGUAAUGUUUGGUAUGAUCAAUGAUUUGAUAACUGUUAUUUUACCGAUCAUUGUUAAAUGUCUUUUCUCCCAAUUUUUUAUAAUCUUUUCAGACUUUUCUAUUUGUUUUUCUGCAUUUAGUUUUUGGCAUUCAUUUUUGUUACAACCGAAAAAAAUUCCUAAACAUUUCACUGGUUUGUUUGUAAAGUUGAUAUUUUCAUAUUUUUCUUUGCAAUGUUUGUGUUUUCCUAACCAAAUGUCUUCUGUUUUUGAUCUGUUUAAUUUAAGCCCUGAUAAAGUGCCAAAAAUUUCAAUCAUGUUUAAUACUUUUGAAAUGUCUUGUUUUGUUUUUAAAAAAAAGUGUGGUGUCAUCUGCAAGUUGACUGAUUUUUUAAAGAAUGUGUUUUCCCAUCUAUUUUGAUUUCAAAUCCUUUAAUAUUAUUGUCUUGUCUUAUUCUACAUGCUAAUAUCUCGACAGCAAUAACGAAAAUUAAAGCACUGCACGGACAUCCUUGUCUAAUCCCUCGAAAAAUGUUGAGGGGUUCAGAUAUCCACCCAUUAUUGAUCACUGAGCUUUUAAUAUCUGUAUACAUAGUUUUUAUCCAUUUGAGCAUAGAAUCUUGAAAGCCAAAUUUUUUUAAUGCUGAGAACAUGAAAUCCCAUUCUAAAGAGUCGAAUGCUUUUGAAAAGUCUAAAAAAUAAUAAUGCUCCUUCUAUAUUAAAUUUUUCUGCAUAAUCAAUUAUAUCCUGGAUCUGUCUAAUAUUAUAACCUAUAUAUCUAUUUUUACAUACCCAUUUUGAUCUUCAUGGAUAAUUUUUGGUAAGACAUUUUUAAUGCGCUAGCUAAUGAAUAUGCUAUUAAUUUUGUAUCAACAUUUAAUAAAGUUAUUGGUCUAUAGUUAUCUAAACUCAGUGGAUCAUUUUUUUUUAUGGAUAAGAGAGAUAACUCCUAAUUUCUGAGAAGUUGUUAAUUUUACGGUAUAUCAUUUUAAUAAUCAUGGAUAAUUGUUGUUUAAUGACAAAUGCUAAUUUUAAUGCUAAUGGAAUGAUUGCAAUAUUUCAUGAAUUGAAGAAAUGCUAAAUAUGUAUUUUGUAUCUAAUAAUUGUAUCUGUAUAACUUGUAUCGUUUAAUCUAUAUGUGAUGUCUAUUUUAGUUUAUCAAGUAGUUUUAUUUUAUAAUGAUUUCAGAAAUUUCAUGUUAGAUCAUCGAUUUUUUAUAGCGGAGUUUUAUAAGAGAGAGUGAGACUCAUUUUUUAUUAUCUAAUUUCUGAGAAUUUUUGUUGUUAACUCCCCUUUUUUAUAUGAAAAAUUAAAUGUGGAUACAAUGAAUUCUUUUAAUUCUUCCCAAAAUGUUCUAUAAAAUUCUACGCUUAAACCAUCAAUUCCAGGUGCUUUGUUCAAUUUCAUCUUAAAUAGUGAAUCUGUACAUUCAUCUAUAGUUAAUUUUCCUUCCAUAAUAUCACUCUCUUGUGUUGUUAAUUUAUGAUCAAUAUUUGUAUCAUUAAUAUAAUCAUUUAUAGAUUUUAUAUCUGGAUUUGUACUUUUAUAAAUAUCUUUAUAGAAUUCUGUCUCUAAUUGUAAAAUUUUGGAUGAGUCAGUUUGUAUCACUCCUUCUUUAUCUCUUAGUGCAGUUAUAGUUUUUCUUGUUUGUCUAGCUUUUUCUAAACCUAAAAAGAAUUUAGUAUUUUUUUCCCCUUCUUCUACCCAUUGAAUUCGUGACCUGAUUUGAGCUCCUUUUGUUUUUAUUUCAUAUAUUUUCUUUAAUUUAUUCUCAUUGUUAAUUAAUUCUUCAUGAAAAUGCUUUAUUACCUCAUCUUUACAAUGUUUAUUAAUGUUUUCAUUUAAUUUUUUAAUUUUAUUUUCCAAUACAUGUAUUUCACUUAUAUUCUGUUUUGCUUUUCUUUUACAGUAUUCAAUGGUGUAUUCUUUGACCUCAAUUUUGAAUAAGUCCCAAUGGUGUCCAAUAUUUUUGGUAAGUUUUGGAUUGUUUUUAUAUUUAUGAAUUAGGCCAUUUAUUAUGUUUUUAUAUUCAAUAUUAUCCAAAAUGCUGUUAUUAAUUUUAAAAUAUCCUUUCCCUUUUGAUUGUGAUCUCCCUUUCAACUUUAGUGAUAUAGCUUGGUGGUCUGUGUGAGAUAUAAGUGCAGGUCUUAUAUCUGCUGAGUAUAUAUGUGAUCUUAUUUCUGGGCAUAUAAGAAAGAGAUCUAUGCGAGAGGCUUCAUUUAUAUUGUUUUUGCGUCUCCAUGUAAAUUGUGUAUUGUUACUAUGUGUCUCUCUCCAAAUGUCUAUCAACUUUAGUGUUUUAAUUAGAUUUUUUAAACUGUUAACUGGUUUUUGUGUUUUUUUAUUUGUGCUGUAUUUUUUUCUGUCAAUAAUUGAUAGAGUAUCAUUCAUAUCUCCACCAACAAUUACCAUCCCUAAGCUAUUCUCUGAUAUCAUAUCCUUUACUUUUUUGAAAAAAACAUUUCUGUUCUUUG